RNAcentral lists this ribosomal RNA (253 nucleotides) under uncultured bacterium. RNAcentral describes it as "partial 16S ribosomal RNA". It matches the Rfam family "Bacterial small subunit ribosomal RNA", at positions 524 to 776 of the family's 1533-position model. The record is from RNAcentral.
UACAGAGGUCUCAAGCGUUGUUCGGAUUCAUUGGGCGUAAAGGGCGCGUAGGCGGCGGGGUAAGUCGGGUGUGAAAUCUCAGGGCUCAACCCUGAAACUGCACUCGAUGCUGCUCUGCUUGAGGACUGGAGAGGAGACUGGAAUUCACGGUGUAGCAGUGAAAUGCGUAGAGAUCGUGAGGAAGACCAGUGGCGAAGGCGGGUCUCUGGACAGUUCCUGACGCUGAGGCGCGAAGGCCAGGGGAGCAAACGGG